AUGUCCUGCUGCUGCGGCAGCCUCAAGUACUGCUGCAAGUUCUUCGGCGGCUUGCUCGGCGCCCUCUUCCCGAUCGGCGUCAUCAUCCUCAUCUACUGGGCCAUCUUUCAGCCCCACCAAAUCCGCGCCACCGUCGGCUCCGCCACGCUCACCGGCCUCACCGUCACCAAUGCCUCCGUCGUAUCCUACCGCCUCGCCGUCACCCUCGACAUAUACAACCCCAGCCUCCGCGUCGGCAUCUACUACGACACGCUGGACGCCGAGCUCAGCUACCGCGGCGCAUCGCUCGGCGGCCCCGCCGUUGGCGCUUCCACGGCGUCCCCGGCCGAGUUCUACCAGCGGAGGAAGAGCUGGGAGACGGUGAAGGUGGAGUUCGACGGGAGCAGUGGCGGCAUCCUCCCCGGCGACGUUGCUGCGGAGCUGGAGAAGGAGAUGGGUCGGGGGACGGUGAGCUUGGAGGUCGCCGUGGACGCGCGGGUGAGGUACAGGUUCAACACCAUCAAGAUUCGCCAGAAGCCCAAUUUGUGGUGCUCGCUCACCAUCCCGGUUAAGCCGGAUCAGGGCCGCGGCGUCGGCGGCGCUCUUACCUCCGGCGACCGCUGUAGCGUCAAGUAUUGA
Molecule: ribosomal RNA, 618 nt
Filed under: Triticum aestivum (bread wheat)
Lineage: Eukaryota; Viridiplantae; Streptophyta; Magnoliopsida; Poales; Poaceae
Description: partial small subunit ribosomal RNA
Source: RNAcentral